RNAcentral lists this ribosomal RNA (28 nucleotides) under Platanus mexicana var. mexicana. Lineage: Eukaryota; Viridiplantae; Streptophyta; Magnoliopsida; Proteales; Platanaceae. RNAcentral also lists the same sequence under 1 other name. The record is from RNAcentral.
CUCCUAGGAAGUCCUCGUGUUGCACCCC